RNAcentral lists this ribosomal RNA (308 nucleotides) under Bacillus sp. Expt2_481D8_P13WD_D06. Its description in RNAcentral is "bacterial SSU rRNA". It matches the Rfam family "Bacterial small subunit ribosomal RNA", at positions 1054 to 1363 of the family's 1533-position model. The record is from RNAcentral. Lineage: Bacteria; Bacillati; Bacillota; Bacilli; Caryophanales; Bacillaceae.
GUCAGCUCGUGUCGUGAGAUGUUGGGUUAAGUCCCGCAACGAGCGCAACCCUUGAUCUUAGUUGCCAGCAUUUAGUUGGGCACUCUAAGGUGACUGCCGGUGACAAACCGGAGGAAGGUGGGGAUGACGUCAAAUCAUCAUGCCCCUUAUGACCUGGGCUACACACGUGCUACAAUGGACAGAACAAAGGGCUGCGAGACCGCAAGGUUUAGCCAAUCCCACAAAUCUGUUCUCAGUUCGGAUCGCAGUCUGCAACUCGACUGCGUGAAGCUGGAAUCGCUAGUAAUCGCGGAUCAGCAUGCCGCGGU